RNAcentral lists this ribosomal RNA (519 nucleotides) under Triticum aestivum (bread wheat). RNAcentral describes it as "partial small subunit ribosomal RNA". The record is from RNAcentral. Lineage: Eukaryota; Viridiplantae; Streptophyta; Magnoliopsida; Poales; Poaceae.
AUGCGAGCUUGGCCCACUCCUACCAAUCCAACGGAGCUUCGCGGUUUCCUCGGCCUCACAGGCUACUACCGCAAAUUCGUCUCUCGCUAUGGAAUCAUUGCCAAGCCACUCACUCAGCUGCUCACCAAGAAGGGCUUCAAGUGGUCGGAGCAAGCCCAAGCCGCGUUCGAGCUCCUCAAGAGUGCCAUGGCUAAUACCCCUGUACUGGCCUUGCCCGAUUUCACUCGCCCAUUCUCAAUAGAGACAGAUGCGUGUGACACGGGCGUGGGAGCGGUGCUCGUCCACGACGGCCACCCAAUUGCCUAUCUCAGCAAAGCGCUCGGUGUCCGCAACCAGCGACUGUCAAUUUACGAGAAGGAAUUCCUUGCAGUGAUGAUGGCAGUGGAAAAAUGGAGGCCCUAUCUGCAGCGUGCGCCGUUCGUCAUUGUCACGGAUCACAAGAGCUUGUGCCACCUCGGCGAUCAGCUGCUGGAAACAGAGUUGCAGCGCAAAGCCAUGUCCAAAAUGGUGGGGCUAUAG